GUGCCGAGUAGUGGUAAUUGGUAACCUUUAUUCUAUGGUGACAACUGCAGGUAAUUGUAAAUACCUUCUAAAUACUUUUGUUGUUAUUUGUAAAUAUAAAGUAUUAAGAUAAUUGUAUAAUUUAAUGAAUGAAUUAAAUAAUGUUGUUUUUGUUUUAUUUGUCCUAUUUAUCCCAAAAUAGUAUUUAAGUUUUUAACACACUAGUUGUCCCACCUGGUGUUACCGGUGUCAGUAUAAAGUUUAACAUCAUGCUAAAUUAUUUUUUUUUUUUUCACCAUAGGUAUAAAACAAUUAAGAUAACUGAUAAUGAAGAUCACGAUUUCAGGGAGCGAUAAUACUUUAGCGGGAUACACCAAGACACGAGGUUUAAUGAUAAAGUAAUAAAGAAACGUUUAUUUACGACAUAACAACAUUAAACAAGUGCUCGCCAGCUGACUGCUUGUAGCGCGAGAACAGGCGAGCACGCAUUUAUUAGAACAAGAUAAGUGGUAAAAAUCAAUUAUACAUGAUGGGUCGGAGUCGGAAAACAAUGUUUUGCGAGCGGCGCCGGUGCGAAGAGAGCGAGCGGAGCGGUCGAGACGUCGAGUCGAACGGAGCUGUGGCCGAUGA
Cinara cedri is the source of this 609-nucleotide non-coding RNA. The record is from the annotation of a GenBank genome assembly. NCBI's taxonomy places the organism in Eukaryota, Metazoa, Arthropoda, Insecta, Hemiptera, Aphididae.